RNAcentral lists this ribosomal RNA (146 nucleotides) under uncultured bacterium. Its description in RNAcentral is "partial 16S ribosomal RNA". It matches the Rfam family "Bacterial small subunit ribosomal RNA", at positions 366 to 509 of the family's 1533-position model. The record is from RNAcentral.
GGUCAAUGGGCGAGAGCCUGAACCAGCCAAGUCGCGUGAAGGAAGAAUGUCCUAUGGAUUGUAAACUUCUUUUGUAAGGGAAUAAAAAAGGCUACGUGUACCCUAUUGUAUGUACUUUACGAAUAAGGAUCGGCUAACUCCGUGCC